RNAcentral lists this transfer RNA (71 nucleotides) under Enterococcus asini. Its description in RNAcentral is "tRNA-Gly". It matches the Rfam family "tRNA". From Rfam's summary of the family: Transfer RNA (tRNA) molecules are approximately 80 nucleotides in length. Their secondary structure includes four short double-helical elements and three loops (D, anti-codon, and T loops). The record is from RNAcentral. Lineage: Bacteria; Bacillati; Bacillota; Bacilli; Lactobacillales; Enterococcaceae. RNAcentral also lists the same sequence under 1 other name.
GCGGGUGUAGUUUAGUGGUAAAACAUGAGCUUCCCAAGCUCACGUCGCGAGUUCGAUUCUCGUCACCCGCU